RNAcentral lists this unclassified non-coding RNA (341 nucleotides) under soil metagenome. RNAcentral's name for it is "partial contains 5.8S ribosomal RNA, internal transcribed spacer 2, and large subunit ribosomal RNA". The stretch from base 1 to 120 matches the Rfam family "5.8S ribosomal RNA", at positions 35 to 154 of the family's 154-position model. The record is from RNAcentral.
GAUGAAGAACGUAGCGAAAUGCGAUAAGUAGUGUGAAUUGCAGAAUUCAGUGAAUCAUCGAAUCUUUGAACGCACAUUGCGCCCUUUGGUAUUCCAAAGGGCAUGCCUGUUCGAGCGUCAUUUAUACCCUCAAGCUUUGCUUGGUGUUGGGCGUCUUGUCUCUAGCUUUGCUGGAGACUCGCCUUAAAGUAAUUGGCAGCCGGCCUACUGGUUUCGGAGCGCAGCACAAGUCGCACUCUCUAUCAGCAAAGGUCUAGCAUCCAUUAAGCCUUUUUUUCAACUUUUGACCUCGGAUCAGGUAGGGAUACCCGCUGAACUUAAGCAUAUCAAUAAGCGGAGGA